UCCCUGCAGCUCCGGAGCGCUUGGCAGCUGCCCCAGUCGUGCCCGCACCUGGGAGGCCUCUGCGUUCACGCGACUUGCAGCUGUGAGAGCUUUCAAACACCUUUGAGCGGGCAGGAGCGGAUCUGUCCUUGAAGGCAGCUUUCUUCGCUGGCUGUCCCGGUUCUUGUGUGGGAGACAAGGUCACCAUCAGAAUCCAAGUCGAAUGCUUCCUUGUGAUGGGACACCUUCCCAGAAGAGUAACAGUCCAAACUGUGAAACACUGGCUGAGAAGAGCUGGAAAAGAUGGCCUGACUGGCUUUAUGCCACAAGUGCUGUACUCCAACUGACAUGCUCUCCUGGCGAACCUGGCAGCUGCUUGCUCCCUCAACCUUCCCAUCAGGAUUUUUUGAAAGCAAGUAAUGGUUAGGUAAUGGUUAGUUGUUGAAGAUACAGCUCAAGUGGAGAAAAAAAAAGACCAUCUCUUCUUGAACACGACUUACCAUCCUAAGGUCAACGCCAGAGAUGCUUUCCCUUCAUGUAACUAGUCACUAGGUAAAGGAGGAGCAGAGCAUUCAGCACACAACUGCAUAAGCAGCCCAGCACCCUCUACAAGGUACUGACAGAAGGCCUGAAAAUUAGUAUAUCCAAGCUACACCCCCAGUAGAAAUAAAAAUAAUUUUUCAGUUAAUUGGACCUUAAUG
RNAcentral lists this long non-coding RNA (680 nucleotides) under Dromaius novaehollandiae (emu). RNAcentral's name for it is "lncRNA (ENSDNVG00000001837.1)". Lineage: Eukaryota; Metazoa; Chordata; Aves; Casuariiformes; Dromaiidae. The record is from RNAcentral.